ACUCAUAUAUAUAACACCCAAGACUUCCCUGUAAAACCGAUGCGGGACGCAUCACCAACUCUUAAGAAUUCAAUAUUAAAUCAAAAGCUGUGUAAUUCUUCUUUACUUUCAACAUCUACCAUAAAUCUAAACUUGCCUUUUGCCUCAAUUGAAAGGAUUCUGCCUUCUGUGUUCACUCAAGGAAUACUUUAAAAAUUGUGCCUGUAAUGAGGCCAGUGGCCUUGGAUUUUUUAGUGCAAGUUUGUGGACUUUUAUUUUGUUGGGAGGAUUUCAUGAUAGCAGAAUAGAAAGGCCAUUUAGUGUCCAUCUAGAUAUUCUGUCUUUUGUCCAGGUUCACAUGAAUCACAUCUGUCCCAUUGAUAAACAAAGUCCUAUAUUUUUCUCUCCAGUUUUAGCAUAUAGCAAUUUUGACAUGA
Molecule: unclassified non-coding RNA, 416 nt
Filed under: Hevea brasiliensis (rubber tree)
Lineage: Eukaryota; Viridiplantae; Streptophyta; Magnoliopsida; Malpighiales; Euphorbiaceae
Source: RNAcentral